This 497-nucleotide ribosomal RNA is filed under the name uncultured bacterium. Its description in RNAcentral is "partial 16S ribosomal RNA". It matches the Rfam family "Bacterial small subunit ribosomal RNA", at positions 28 to 507 of the family's 1533-position model. The record is from RNAcentral.
GAUGAACGCUGGCGGCGUGCCUAAUACAUGCAAGUCGAGCGAACAGACGAGGAGCUUGCUCUACUGGCGUUAGCGGCGGACGGGUGAGUAACGCGUGGAUAACCUACCUAUAAGACUGGGACAACUUCGGGAAACCGGAGUUACGGCCGGGUAAUAUAUUGAACCGCAUGGUUCAAUAGUGAAAGACGGUUUUGCUGUCACUUAUAGAUGUAUCCGCGCCGCAGUCGCUAUUUGGUAAGGUAACGGCUUACCAAGGCAACCAUGCGUAGCCGACCUGAGAGCGUGAACCGCCCCACGGGAACUGAGACACGGUCCAGACUCCUACGGGAGGCAGCGGUACCGACUCUUCCGCGAUGGGCGAAAGCCUGACGGAGCAACGCCGCGUGAGUGCUGAAGGUCUUCGGAUCGUAAAACGCCGUUAUUAGUGAAGAACAAAUGUGCAAGUAACGAUGCACGUCUUGACGGUACCUAAUCAGAAAGCCACGGCUAACUACGUG